Molecule: ribosomal RNA, 800 nt
Filed under: uncultured bacterium
Lineage: Bacteria
Description: bacterial SSU rRNA
Rfam family: Bacterial small subunit ribosomal RNA
Source: RNAcentral
AGAGUUUGAUCCUGGCUCAGAACGAACGCUGGCGGCGUGCUUAAUACAUGCAAGUCGAACGAGAGGUCCUGACUUCGGUUAGGAUAGUAAAGUGGCGACCGGGUGAGUAACACGUGGACAAUCUGCCUGUGCGCGGGGGAUAAGCCUUCGAAAGGAGGUCUAAUACCGCAUAACAUCGCUGGCCGGCAUCGGCCGGCGCUCAAAGACGGUGCAAGCUGUCACGCACAGAUGAGUCCGCGGUUCAUUAGCUAGUUGGCGGGGUAACGGCCCACCAAGGCGACGAUGAAUAGCCGGCCUGAGAGGGUGAUCGGCCACACUGGGACUGAGAUACGGCCCAGACUCCUACGGGAGGCAGCAGUAGGGAAUAUUGCGCAAUGGACGAAAGUCUGACGCAGCAACGCCGCGUGAAUGAUGAAGCAUUUCGGUGUGUAAAAUUCUGUCGCCGGGGAAGAACCGGGUGAGGAGUCACUGCCUUGCCCCUGACGGUACCCGGAAAGGAAGUCCCGGCUAACUCCGUGCCAGCAGCCGCGGUAAUACGGGGGGGACAAGCGUUGUUCGGAUUUAUUGGGCGUAAAGGGCGCGUAGGCGGGCAGACAAGUCGGAUGUGAAACCUCCGGGCUCAACCCGGAGCCUGCAUUCGAUACUGUCUGUCUUGAGUAUCGGAGAGGAGUGUGGAAUUCCAGGUGUAGCGGUGAAAUGCGUAGAUAUCUGGAAGAACACCGAUGGCGAAGGCAGCACUCUGGACGAAUACUGACGCUGAGGCGCGAAGGCUUGGGGAGCAAACAGGAUUAGAUACCCUG